CUACCGGCAUCGAGAGGUGCUGGGAUGGGUGUGCAGAAGUCAGCCGAGGGCAUGUCACAUGAACGCC
Non-coding RNA from Magnetococcus sp., 67 nucleotides. Lineage: Bacteria; Pseudomonadati; Pseudomonadota; Magnetococcia; Magnetococcales; Magnetococcaceae. The record is from Rfam.